Molecule: long non-coding RNA, 510 nt
Organism: Mytilus californianus (California mussel)
Lineage: Eukaryota; Metazoa; Mollusca; Bivalvia; Mytilida; Mytilidae
Exons: 3
Source: RefSeq, a predicted model, not a curated record
UAUUCAAUAAGAAGGGUCAUAGGUGGUAGUGUUGUAUAGGUAGUUGGUGGACAUCUUGUUUAUUCAGUAAGAAGGGUCAUAGGUGGUAGUGUUGUAUAGGUAGUUGGUGGACAUCUUGUUUAUUCAGUAAGAAGGGUCAUAGGUGGUAGUGUUGUAUAGGUAGUUGGUGGACAUCUUGUUUAUUCAGUAAGAAGGGUCAUAGGUGGUAGUGUUGUAUAGGUAGUUGGUGGACAUCUUGUUUAUUCAGUAAGAAGGGUCAUAGGUGGCAGUGUUGUAUAGGUAGUUGGUGGACAUCUUGUUUAUUCAGUAAGAAGGGUCAUAGGUGGCAGUGUUGUAUAGGUAGUUGGUGGACAUCUUGUUUAUUCAGUAAGAAGGGUCAUAGGUGGCAGUGUUGUAUAGGUAGUUGGUGGACAUCUUGUUUAUUCAGUAAGAAGGGUCAUAGGUGGUAGAGUUGUAUAGGUAGUUGGUGGACAUCUUGUUUAUUCAGUAAGUAGGGUCAUAGGUGGCAGU